UUAGGAUUGUCUCCCCAACUGUUUCCCCAGAGAAGGAAAAUCAGUUUUAGUGCAGAAGGCCCGCUGCAAGGGGAUGUGACUAGGGUUGUCGUCGCCCACGUUCCUCGGCCCGACCCCGACGGCCGGCGGCGGCUCUCACCCUACGCAUCGCCUCCCAGCGAUCUCCUUCCUCGUCGUGCGCCUGUCUUCCUUGCCCCUCCAGAUGGAGAGAGGUGUGAAAGCCAAGGCAAAAUGGGAUUCAUUUGCACACAAAGUUUUUUGUGAGAUCUGUAUUCUGUAAGGAGGAGGUCAGUGCCGGGAACAGGCCAGAGGCAUAUUUAAAUGCCACGGGAUACAUGAAUCUACAGCAGAAGUUCUUGGCUAGGACAGGGAGAAAUUAUGAGAGGAAGCAGUUCAAAAACCGAUGGGACUUCUUGAAGACAGAAUAUGGUCAUUGGAUGACCUUUACACAGGCUGCAACUGGGCAGCAAUUGGAUUGCAAUUUGGGAACAGCAGAUGCCGACCAUGAAUGGUGGGUGAAGCUCAUCGAGGCCCACCCAGAAUUUGUAUAGUUCCGUAACGGAGCACCAGAAAACCUUGCUGAGCUUACCACCAUUUUUGACAAGACUCAUGUGACGGUUGCAACUUCUGCGAUCCUAGGUGAGCAUAUAGAAGACCCCACUGAUCUCUUUGAGGUUGAGGAUGGCAACAGUUAUCUGGAACUGGAAGACAACAAUGAUGUGGAAAGCAACAAGGCACCUGGCCAGAAAAUAAAGGAAGUGGAAAAGCAGAGGGCUGCUGCCAUUGCUGCUAGUCCAAAGACGAAACGAAAGCAACAAAAGAACCCUACGGUUCAGGAGUGCAGGCAUCUGGCAUACAUAAUGGCUGGUAGCACUUCGGUGACAUCUUCGACUGAUGUUCCAAGAGGCCAUGGGAUUAAAGACGUCAUCAAGUUGGCUGUGCAAUCUGGGGCGAAGGAAUGCAGCGAUCUGUUCUUCACGGCCACCAAGCUUUUUGUGAAUGUGGAUUAUAGAAAGAUGUUUAGUGCUUUGGAGACCAAUGAAGGAAGGCUCGAUUGGCUGAACAGGAUGCAUGAAGAGAUGUAGAAGAAUUAAUGUAUCUGCUUCUCUCUUAAUACUGAUCUUUUUCCGAGAUGUGAGGAUAAGACUCAUUUUCCCACACUUUUGGAAUUAAAGUAGAAGGGAGACUCGAACCUCAGUGGGUUGGUUUGCAACCUUGUACGCCCACUGCAAAGGAGAGUUCUCGUGUGAGUACUAAUCCGACAUUAUUAUGAACUCACCUUUUUUGUGAUUAUGUGACAUCUGGAUGGUAGGAUCACUUUCUGUUUUACAGUAUACUAGCCUUUACUGUCUUCCGAAGUGCAGAUUUUUUUAAAGCAGAACCAGUUGGCUCUAUGUAACUGUACUGUUCAUGUCCUGCACAUAGUUACUUUUUCAUUUACCAUAAUUUGGAAAAUUCUGGUUAUUUCUUCAUUCUUUAGCUUGAGAAGCUACUUUUGACGAAUUAAAGUUGACAGUCAAGAUAUUACCUUGAUAGGAAAAGCAUUUUUGUAGCCCUUAUAGAGUCAAUUAUAUCUCCGGAAUUGAUGGUCUUUUCAUCUGUUGAUAACAAUUUGUGGUCGCGUUGAUUGGUUACCAGGUUUCUCAGGUUCUUGUGCAUGCAGGCUCUUGCAGUUUCAACCCUGCAACAGCAGCCAUUCCCUGGGAAUGGUGAACUAACCCAAAUUAGUUUUGUUAGGACCAUUGCUUGUAGAGAAGCUUAUGUUUGAUGCCUUUUUGAGGCAUUUGACCUUUCUUGUCCACUUAACGAAGUAGUUGCUUAAUUCCGGAGAUAGUUU
This is an RNA transcript of Triticum aestivum (bread wheat), 1837 nucleotides long. It is a transcript of the gene named zinc finger CCCH domain-containing protein 43, with no coding region annotated. NCBI's taxonomy places the organism in Eukaryota, Viridiplantae, Streptophyta, Magnoliopsida, Poales, Poaceae. The record is from RefSeq and is a predicted model, not a curated record. The transcript has 3 exons.